UCCUAUCUCCAUUUCUAAAGUUGUGGGUGAGAGGUGUUUAUAGAAAAUGUUUUAUUUGCAGUGGUUAAAGGUAUGGAUAAAGGUUUGGGUUUCAGUGGUUAAAGGUAUGGAUAAAGGUUUGGGUUUAAGUGGUUAAAGGUAUGGAUAAAGGUUUGGGUUUCAGUGGUUAAAGGUAUGGAUAAAGGUUUGGGUUUCAGUGGUUAAAGGUAUGGAUAAAGGUUUGGGUUUCAGUGGUUAAAGGUAUGGAUAAAGGUUUGGGUUUCAGUGGUUAAAGGUAUGGAUAAAGGUUUGGGUGUCAGUGAUUAAAGGUAUGGAUAAAGGUUUGGGUUUCAGUGAUUAAAGGUAUGGAUAAAGGUUUGGGUGUCAGUGAUUAAAGGUAUGGAUAAAGGUUUGGGUUUCAGUGGUUAAAGGUAUGGAUAAAGGUUUGGGUGUCAGUGAUUAAAGGUAUGGAUAAAGGUUUGGGUUUCAGUGGUUAAAGGUAUGGAUAAAGGUUUGGGUUUCAGUGGUUAAAGGUAUGGAUAAAGGUUUGGGUGUCAGUGAUUAAAGGUAUGGAUAAAGGUUUGGGUUUCAGUGGUUAAAGGUAUGGAUAAAGGUU
This is a long non-coding RNA of Oncorhynchus keta (chum salmon), 595 nucleotides long. RefSeq lists it as uncharacterized. NCBI's taxonomy places the organism in Eukaryota, Metazoa, Chordata, Actinopteri, Salmoniformes, Salmonidae. The record is from RefSeq and is a predicted model, not a curated record. The transcript has 3 exons.